CACAAUUAUCGUGGUCAUUUGGGCCGACCGGCUUGCCGCCACGUAAAACAAGGGGCUAAGGGGUCGUGUCCGCACUCGA
RNAcentral lists this non-coding RNA (79 nucleotides) under Hyphomicrobiales bacterium. Lineage: Bacteria; Pseudomonadati; Pseudomonadota; Alphaproteobacteria; Hyphomicrobiales. The record is from RNAcentral.